UAAUGCCGGGCACUCUGGAAGGACUGCCAUCGACAAGAUGGAGGAAGGUGGGGAGUGACGUCAAGUCAUCAUGGCCCUUACGGCCUGGGCUACACACGUGCUACAAUGGUCGGUACAAAGGGUUGCCAAGCCGCGAGGUGGAGCUAAUCCCAUAAAACCGAUCGUAGUCCGGAUCGCAGUCUGCAACUCGACUGCGUGAAGUCGGAAUCGCUAGUAAUCGUGAAUCAGAAUGUCACGGUGAAUACGUUCCCGGGCCUU
This 258-nucleotide ribosomal RNA is filed under the name uncultured Pseudomonas sp. Its description in RNAcentral is "partial 16S ribosomal RNA". It matches the Rfam family "Bacterial small subunit ribosomal RNA", at positions 1126 to 1382 of the family's 1533-position model. Lineage: Bacteria; Pseudomonadati; Pseudomonadota; Gammaproteobacteria; Pseudomonadales; Pseudomonadaceae. The record is from RNAcentral.